CGGAACAAAUAGUCAGAUGUUAAAUUUUAGGGCUCAACCCUAAAACCGCAUUUGAAACGUUUGUUCUAGAGGAUGGUAGAGGCAAAUAGAACUUAUGGUGUAGCAGUAAAAUGCGUUGAUAUUAUAAGGAAUACCAAAGGCGAAGGCAUUUUGCUGGACCAUUUCUGACGCUGAGAGACGAAAGCGUGGGUAGCGAAUGGGAUUAGAUACCCCAGUAGUCCACGCCGUAAACGAUGGAUAUUAGACAUUAGGAGUGUCGACCCUUUUAGUGUCGAAGCUAACGCAUUAAAUAUCCCGCCUGGGAAGUACGGUCGCAAAACUAAAACUCAAAGGAAUAGACGGGGACCUGCACAAGCGGUGGAGCAUGUGGUUUAAUUCGAUGAUAAACGAGGAACCUUACCAAGGCUUGAAAUCUCUAGAAUCCCCGAGAAACCGGGGAGUGCCGCAAGGAACUAGAUGACAGGUGCUGCAUGGUUGCCGUCAGCUCGUGCCGUGAGGUGUUCGGUUAAGUCCAGUAACGAGCGCAACCCCUUUCAAAUGUUGUAUUUCUCAUUUGAGACUGCCCGGGUUAACCGGGAGGAAGGCGGGGACGACGUCAAAUCAGCAUGGCCCUUGACGCCUUGGGCUACACACAUGCUACAAUGGAAAGUAC
Molecule: ribosomal RNA, 652 nt
Filed under: uncultured WCHB1 bacterium
Lineage: Bacteria
Description: bacterial SSU rRNA
Rfam family: Bacterial small subunit ribosomal RNA
Source: RNAcentral